This 1859-nucleotide long non-coding RNA is filed under the name Pongo abelii (Sumatran orangutan). RNAcentral describes it as "lincRNA". Lineage: Eukaryota; Metazoa; Chordata; Mammalia; Primates; Hominidae. The record is from RNAcentral.
GUUGAUUCCUAGAGGUGGAAUCCAUUAAACUGACAAAGCUGCAGUCCUGGGGUCCUAAUAGUCGGGACUAUUAGGUCAUCCUGGGUACUCAGGCCUCUAGACUCUAGACUGAGCUGUCUUGGUCACUCAGGGACAGUUGGCAGAGUAUUCGUGGUCAGGGAGGUGAUCCAUGGUCAGCAGGAUCAGGCCACCCAGGGACAAAGGGUGCUUCUGUGCCAGGCCCUGGAGAAGGACAGACCGGUGGGGACUUGGGGUCGGCCGCAGAUAGGGGAGUCACCACCUGCUGGCAAUCAGCCAUGACUGUCUUUUCAUUGUCCGUGCUCUCAGCCUACCACCUCCUCCCCCGCCAUUGCAAGUGGCUAACACUGGGGAUGAAGACCAAGACACCACGGCCUUUCUCCAAUACCUCUCAAAUCAGCACAGACAAGGACAAACGUCUCAAUCCACAACUGCUGAAGAUGGACCCUGGCCACAUGGAAUGGUCAGACACGCCUGCCCAGCUAUCUGCAGGCGAAGAGGCUCAGAAGAGGUUUGGGGGCCUGAAGGACAUCUUGCUCCCAUGUCCAUAUGGGCAGGCGAUUUCUGCUCCAUGAGUCAAUUUUGCCAUAUAAAAUACUUAAUUUCAGCCAUUCCAGGGUGCUACAGGAUGCACAGCUUCCCAUCAGCCCACCUGAACUCCAGCCAUGCCAUUUUGAUACCAGGAAUAAGGUCACCUGCUUUCCUGCCCCUUAGGGGGCCAGAGCCAUGGAAACAAAAUGGCACUUCUGUUUACCUGUUAUAUUAUUUGUUUGUCAUCCUUACAUGUUUGGAAAAUGCAAUUAUAUGAAAAAAGUUUAGUAAUUACAGACAUAACAGCAGAAAGACCUCGGAACCAAGCUUAUUCUCAUGGCCGAUUCUGCUCCACCUGGGACUCUGCUGCGCUGCGGGCAUCCUAUGGUCAGAAUCACAGAGGGACCAUCAGGGAGGGCCUUCCCAGAGGAUGGACCUCACGUGACUGCUGCCUGAGCAAGUGGCACUGGCCACUCUGCCUGGAGACAGGAGUAAAUACAGGGCUGGCCAGGAGACCUGCACACUCUGCUACCGGCCUUGUCCAUCUUUAGCUUCUAAUCUGAAAAUGAGGAACACACAGACCAAGAGUACCAAAGGAUGGUUAGCAGGGACUACAGAAAAGCCCUGGGCCUUUCACUCUCUCCUUUUGCAAAUUCCCAUGUGUGGAAAUGCCGUUGGGAUAAUGAGGGAGCCUGAAGGAGCUGGACACAUGAGCAGCCCCGACAGGGCUGGCUCCAUCCUCUGAAAAUGGGGACCCGUGCCUGGCGUGUGGCCUUACUGGUUCAGUCUUCUGUGCAAAGGGAGGCUGUGAGCACCCAGAUGCCCGGUGCCUCCUGCCUGGAACAGGACAGGAUCUGGCUGACCCCUGGAAGAAUCACAUGCACACUUGACUAUUCAGGGAGUUCUCGCCCAGCAGAGCUCGCCUCUGUGGCUACCUUGGUCUUGCUGCUGAUAUCUGCCAGAAAAGGCCUGGACUUGGAGAGAAGCCUGGGAUUUACACUCAGUCCUUCCCCAUCUGGCUGGUUCCAUUUCCUUGGCUCUCUCUGCUGGAAGUCUGUGCUCCUGAACAUCGAGUCAGAGGGGGCAUCUGAAUGCAGGGUAUGGGGCAUCUGAGUGCAGGGCAGGGAGCCUCAGAUGGGAAGAAGUCAGAGGAACCAGAAUGUGUCAGAAAAUGUGGAGUGAUGUGCCUGAGCUCAAAAGUCAGCUGGGCCACAGGCUGGCUGUGUGAUCUUGGGCAAGUUCAACCAGCUUCUUUAUACCUCUUUUCUUGCCUCAAAAUGAUAAGAGAAACCACUUCACUAAUACACUGA